This 253-nucleotide ribosomal RNA is filed under the name uncultured bacterium. RNAcentral describes it as "partial 16S ribosomal RNA". It matches the Rfam family "Bacterial small subunit ribosomal RNA", at positions 524 to 776 of the family's 1533-position model. The record is from RNAcentral.
UACGUAGGGUGCAAGCGUUGUCCGGAAUUAUUGGGCGUAAAGAGCUCGUAGGCGGUUUGUCGCGUCUGCUGUGAAAAUUCGGGGCUCAACUCCGAGCUUGCAGUGGGUACGGGCAGACUAGAGUGCGGUAGGGGAGACUGGAAUUCCUGGUGUAGCGGUGGAAUGCGCAGAUAUCAGGAGGAACACCGGUGGCGAAGGCGGGUCUCUGGGCCGUAACUGACGCUGAGGAGCGAAAGCGUGGGGAGCGAACAGG